UGGGGAAUAUUGGACAAUGGGCGAAAGCCUGAUCCAGCCAUGCCGCGUGUGUGAAGAAGGUCUUCGGAUUGUAAAGCACUUUAAGUUGGGAGGAAGGGCAGUAAGCGAAUACCUUGCUGUUUUGACGUUACCGACAGAAUAAGCACCGGCUAACUCUGUGCCAGCAGCCGCGGUAAUACAGAGGGUGCAAGCGUUAAUCGGAAUUACUGGGCGUAAAGCGCGCGUAGGUGGUUCGUUAAGUUGAAUGUGAAAGCCCCGGGCUCAACCUGGGAACUGCAUCCAAAACUGGCGAGCUAGAGUAGGGCAGAGGGUGGUGGAAUUUCCUGGGUAGCGGUGAAAUGCGUAGAGAUAGGAAGGAACACCAGUGGCGAAGGCGACCACCUGGGCUCAUACUGACACUGAGGUGCGAAAGCGUGGGGAGCAAACAGG
RNAcentral lists this ribosomal RNA (429 nucleotides) under Pseudomonadota bacterium. RNAcentral describes it as "Proteobacteria bacterium partial 16S ribosomal RNA". It matches the Rfam family "Bacterial small subunit ribosomal RNA", at positions 355 to 776 of the family's 1533-position model. Lineage: Bacteria; Pseudomonadati; Pseudomonadota. The record is from RNAcentral.